AUUUGAAGCAUGGGUGCUAUGCUCGCUAGUAGGAUCUGUGUUAUUUGCUGAGCCUGUUCCUUGAGCAUGAAUAGAAAUACAGCAACAGCAGAAGGCAACAGUCACACAGCAGCUUUUGUAACAACUGAAGUAGUUACCAUGUAAUAGAGAAAAAAUCAAGUGAGGCACUGUGACGCUUUUAGUGACCAUGUGUGAUGAUCUGAAGGGAUGGAACUAGAAACUGUCAGGGGACUGGAGCAUAAAAGGUUGUGUGCAGUGGUUGGAGCCAGAGCCAAUGGUCAGAGUAAAUGUCAGGAAUUGGAGCCCAGGAUCAGAACUGGAGUCAGAGGCUAGAAACAGAAACCAAGGGUCAGAACUGGGUUUCCUGAACUUGGGCCAGGGCAGGAGUUGGGCUGUGAAAAAAAGCAGGAACAAGACUGGGAACAAGUAGGUGCAGAAGCUAUUGCAUCCAGGAGUGAAUACUUUGAGCAGCCCAUCUGCUGACUCUUCCAAUCAAACAGAGGGAGUGAUCCAUCAGACAGUCCAGCUGAUGCGGCCCAGCUAUGCUCCCUAGGCUGUCAGGACCCUGCAGCUGUGCCUCCUUGGAUCUCCUAUUCCUGACAGAACCCAAGUCUGCAGGGAGUGGAACUGCCAACACCUCCAUGCUGCUACUGCGUAAUCACAGUAGGCCUGCAGACAUUACCAUGCUGACCGUGUGGAGAUGAACACCACAGGAUGUACCACCUCAGAAGGCUGGACUGACAGUUUCCCGCAUCCAGAUGCUCAGUUAAAGCUCAGCAGGAGUUCCAGGAAAUGUAUGUGCAACAAGGUGGAUUCCCCAGCCAGCUGUAGUGAUGGACCUGUAUACUGGCUCGCUCUCAGACUCCUGACUCCGGCUUGGACCCUUGGCUUCUGCCCUUGAACUCCAACACCAAUCCUCACCCCUGGCUUCUGUACUUGGACUUUGACCUUUGUUUUGGUGUUGAGACUCUGGCUUUUGACCUCUGGUUUUGGUCCUUGGACUCUGGCUAUGACCCCAGCUUUGACUCUUGAAUGCUGGCUCUGUUCCUGCCCUUUGGAAUUUAUACUAGGACCCUGAACCCAGUCCCAAACUCAGGUUACCGCUUUUAGACUCCAACCCAAGUUUUGACUCCUGAUCUUGACACUUCAGUUCUGACACCUGACUGCCCAAGCCGCAGGUGACAUGAUAAGUGUAGUUUCUAGAGGUCCACGGAGCUCUCACAGAGAGAACACCUGAUAAACCAAAACCAUUGACUAUAGUAGUACUAAAUCAAUAAUGAAUUUUCAGUUCACUGGCAAUUUCAAGAAAUAGUAUUUUUUUAAAGGAUCAUGAAAAUGUUAAGGAUUUUUGGAAAGUUGAAAAGAAAAUUUGUUUUGUGUUGAAUGGAACAUUUCAUU
Molecule: long non-coding RNA, 1398 nt
Organism: Chelonia mydas (Green sea turtle)
Lineage: Eukaryota; Metazoa; Chordata; Testudines; Cheloniidae
Exons: 3
Source: RefSeq, a predicted model, not a curated record